GCCCCUAUAGCUCAACUGGCAGAGCAACUGACUUUUAAUCAGUGGGUUGCAGGUUCAAAUCCUGCUGGGGGCA
RNAcentral lists this transfer RNA (73 nucleotides) under Corynebacterium diphtheriae bv. mitis. Its description in RNAcentral is "tRNA-Lys". It matches the Rfam family "tRNA". Rfam says of the family: Transfer RNA (tRNA) molecules are approximately 80 nucleotides in length. Their secondary structure includes four short double-helical elements and three loops (D, anti-codon, and T loops). Lineage: Bacteria; Bacillati; Actinomycetota; Actinomycetes; Mycobacteriales; Corynebacteriaceae. The record is from RNAcentral.